This 79-nucleotide transfer RNA is filed under the name Caldococcus noboribetus. RNAcentral's name for it is "tRNA-Gly". It matches the Rfam family "tRNA". From Rfam's summary of the family: Transfer RNA (tRNA) molecules are approximately 80 nucleotides in length. RNAcentral also lists the same sequence under 3 other names. Lineage: Archaea; Thermoproteati; Thermoproteota; Thermoprotei; Desulfurococcales. The record is from RNAcentral.
GCGGCGGUAGUCUAGCCUGGACUAGGACGUCGGCCCUCCAAGCCGAAGGUCCCGGGUUCAAAUCCCGGCCGCCGCACCA